UCUUCUGGUGGCUUUGUGGUUAAAGCGUCCACCUCGGGUGUGGGAGGUCGCGGGUUCGAACCCUUGCCGAGCCAUGCCAAAGAC
This is a non-coding RNA of Potamilus streckersoni, 84 nucleotides long. Lineage: Eukaryota; Metazoa; Mollusca; Bivalvia; Unionida; Unionidae. The record is from the annotation of a GenBank genome assembly.